UUUCAUUUGGGAGUCUGCAAACGCAGGAGAUACAGUACUCCAGUACUGCACGGGUCAGCAAAUCUGCCCACUCGUUCCAACACCCUUUUCAUUUCAGAACAAAUAGAGUAUGGGGAUCACUGCAACAUUGUCAAGCCUUUCUGACACUUCAUCAGAAAACACAAGCAUAGGAAAUUUGUGGUCAUAUUUCUCGGCCUCCCAGGUGCACUCUUUUAUGAACAGAUCAUCGUUAGGGGGUUUUCAGUUACAAUUGAAAAGAUGUCUAAUGUCCUAAAGAACUAUCAGAAGUGACAGAAAUGCAAAAGUGGAAAGAGAAAUGUGACCAGUCACCCAUAAGAGAAAGAAUGAGAUCAAUGGAUUCAAGGACAAGAUGAAGGGAUGUAUGACGCCAGGACAAAGACUGUGACUGCUCUGGCACAGCAGUACUAGAGGGAUGCAUUUUGUGGUCUUCGCUCAGGAAUAAUGGCACCUAAGAGCACAUGGGUCCAAUGGACGUCAAAAGCAUUUAGACUUGCAGACUAGUUAUUUCUACCUACCAAGUAUCCUGGAAAUAGAAGACGUUUGUCUUUAUAUGAAGAUAUGAAGCAAACUUUGACAGUGAUCCAGGAAGUUGAACAAUUACUUAAGGUGAAGCAUAUCACUGGUGCAGCUAUCAACGGAGCCAUCCACAUUUUUUCAACAACAAAAAAUAUGAAGCCAUUUCCAGUCAGUUCCCUCCUGUCCUGCAUUUGUGGCCCAGUCUUUCCUCUGUUUAAGUCAAUCAGGACGUAUUCAUUGACUUAAACUGGAGCAGAUGAAGUUCUUCAACUUGCACAGGCUAAGAAGCCGGAGAGCUGAAUGUUUUCUACGAGCCAAGAGGAUUCAGUUGCAUCCCAUUUACAGGAUGAAUAGGAUUCAGUUUCAUCCGAAAGGAGCCUGGGUCAUCCAGACCGCACAGCAGUGAGAACAAAAGCACAGAAAAUGGGAACCAUUGGGAGACUGGCCUCUAAAGCACCUACAACCCUGACUACAUCUGUGAUGGCGACAAGCUCCCAGUGGGUCACAAUAAAUACCCAGUGGCAAUGGAGACAAGUGGGUGGAGUAUAAGAGUGCCUGGAGUUAACAUAAUGAAACUGAAUCCUUUUCUUGAACAAGAAGUGAAAUAAACUUUAAAUCAAAGUCUCCAUUAAGGCCCCUUCUGCAAGAUGCUACUUUCAGUUUCUGAUAAUCAUUAUAAAUGGAGCAGAUUGGAAAAACUCAAAUGGAUCCAAUAUGAAAAGCCUCACUGCCUCCAGUCACUGCAGGGGGAGAGGAAUGCAGCCCCACUUACCUCCAAACUCAUUUUGGUCUUCCUACACCCCGACAGUAAAAUACAUGUGGAAAACCAGAAAUGCUGUGAGGUGAUGACAAUUACCUGAAGAUAUGAAGAUGAGCAGUGAACAGACCAGAGAAGAGAAGUCAGGUGUGGAUGGCCAGGCCACACCAUACUUCUGUACUCAUUAAGAAAAUAAAUAAACUCUUAGUUGGAUACAUUAAAAAAGAGUUGGUGGUUUCCAGCUGCAACUCACUUUAGUUCUUUAAAAUUAUCCUUGCGUUUCUGUUUAAGAAUUUACCUUGAGGAGGGAUGGGAAUCUGCUGCAUGCUACCAUCUGUCUUUCCUUAGAAAUACAGCACAAUAAAAGUGAGAUUGUCUUGUCUCUUUUAUAAGGUUAGUAAGAAAGCUUUGAUUGCUUCUUCUCUUAUUCACUAGAAAUUUAUAGUAAGAUGUUACAUUUUCCUUUUGUCUGUUUGCUGCAACAUCUGAGCUGUGUGUGAAAGACUGUGCCCUGUGGAUGAGAAGGUGCUUCACAGAGAGCAGCUUCAGUGAGCCAACUUAUUCACCAUGGUUCAAAAAUGGAAACUCCCCUCCAUUCUCAGAAUUUUGGUGCUUUUUGUUAUAUUCUGGGAUACUGUUGUGGUUAUAGCUUACUUCUGCCCCUUCUCCUGAAAUGCCCAAAUUUCUGUGAUGUGAGUUUUGUUCUACUUUUAGGAUGCCAAGUGGAAGAUUAUUCUAUUUCACUUUUGAGUCCUUUCCUGUUAUUACCUCAAACAUCGACAACAAAUUUUUCGGCCUUUCCCUUUUCUGAAGCAGUGGUGACAAAGUUCCUCUUUCUUUCCCCUUCUUCUUUUUCUUUUAAAACACAAAGAAACAAAACAUUCUCCAGAUGUUUUGUGAUCUAAUCCCUUAUUAACUUUGGAAAGAUCCUUUCUACCACAGGGAUCAGAUUCAUUAAUCUAUGGCUUCCUGACUCCUCUCCUACAGUAUUUCCAGGAAUGCAGAUACCUAUUUUGGCAUGGAAUCUGUAUUCCAUGAGCACAAACCUUCAAAUAUAUCUAUUUACCACACCUCUGACUGUAUCCGUUUCUCAAUCGGAUAAUUUAAUUUCCAGUCAAAGCAGGCACACAAAUUAGGCAGCCAUUUAAUCAGUGAUUAACCAAAUAAUCUCCUUUUACCAUAAAUUUGUAGUGUCUGGAGACCUUGUAGACUUCUUGGAAAAGGUGGCCUGUCU
Molecule: long non-coding RNA, 2528 nt
Filed under: Gallus gallus (chicken)
Lineage: Eukaryota; Metazoa; Chordata; Aves; Galliformes; Phasianidae
Description: lncRNA (ENSGALG00010010260.1)
Source: RNAcentral